UUCAAGGCCAAGCGAGUGAACGACUUCACGAUCAAGGAUGGAAAGAUCGCACCGACCGAUGGCUCCGCAGAAGCCGUCACGGUUGCCGAGCUGAUGCGGAUGGUGGGGCGGGAUCGGAUCGNNNNNNNNNNNNGGCCGACAAGGCGUCAUCGGAAACAGAGCAGCGCGAUGCCUACAAUAGCUUCAAAUAUAUGCGCCCAUCGUCACCAAGUCAUGCGACGUAUGCAUGGUGCGCGCAAUUCGUGGAGGUUCGUGUCGA
RNAcentral lists this unclassified non-coding RNA (259 nucleotides) under Hevea brasiliensis (rubber tree). The record is from RNAcentral. Lineage: Eukaryota; Viridiplantae; Streptophyta; Magnoliopsida; Malpighiales; Euphorbiaceae.